RNAcentral lists this ribosomal RNA (273 nucleotides) under uncultured soil bacterium. RNAcentral describes it as "partial 16S ribosomal RNA". It matches the Rfam family "Bacterial small subunit ribosomal RNA", at positions 26 to 285 of the family's 1533-position model. The record is from RNAcentral.
AGAAUCAACGCUGGCGGCGUGCCUAACACACGCAAGUCGAACGCGAAAGUCCCGAAAGGGAUGAGUAGAGUGGCAAACGGGUGAGUAACACGUGGGUGACCUGCCUUCGAGCGGGGGAUAACGGUCCCGAAAGGGACGCUAAUACCGCAUGACAUCCUGCCUUUGAAGAGGUGGAGAUCAAAGCUGGGGAUCGCAAGACCUAGCACUCGAAGAGGGGCCCGCGCCUGAUUAGCUAGUUGGUGGGGUAACGGCUCACCAAGGCAACGAUCAGUA